This 253-nucleotide ribosomal RNA is filed under the name uncultured bacterium. Its description in RNAcentral is "partial 16S ribosomal RNA". It matches the Rfam family "Bacterial small subunit ribosomal RNA", at positions 524 to 776 of the family's 1533-position model. The record is from RNAcentral.
UACGGGGGGGGCAAGCGUUGUCCGGAAUUACUGGGCGUAAAGGGCUCGUAGGUGGCCAACUAAGUCAGACGUGAAAUCCCUCGGCUUAACCGGGGAACUGCGUCUGAUACUGGAUGGCUUGAAUCCGGGAGAGGGAUGCAGAAUUCCAGGUGUAGCGGUGAAAUGCGUAGAUAUCUGGAGGAAUACCGGUGGCGAAGGCGGCAUCCUGGACCGGCAUUGACGCUGAGGAGCGAAAGCUAGGGGAGCAAACGGG